GUGGUUUGGAACAGGGCAGGGAUGGAGGGAAGGUCCUUGUAUCUUAGACAUCAAAAUCCCAGGAAAAUAAUUAGGAGGUGUUUGGGAUUCUGCUGAAAACUCUGACAACAGACCAGAAAUAUCUCCAAGAGCACCAGCAACCCCAGCUAUCUAGACCCGAAGUGGAUAUACUCAGAGGCAUCCUGGCCUACCCCACCCCUGACCCCAGAGAAGAUGCUGCUGCCCUCAGAAGACGCCAGAGCCAGCCACACUGCAAGUCUGGGAGGAUCGAGCAAGGCAGGCUGCUCAGUGAAGGCUUCCUCUCCUGUAGCAGGAAGAGCAUCGUUAAGAACAAGUAUGCAGGGCUGGACUACUCUGGAGAUGUAAUGACCAGAGCUGAGACCCCCGAGACCAGAGUGACUAUGAAGGACUGUCGUCACCUUGUUCCUGAACAUCUAAUGCCUCUCAGCUCCAGGAGGCCACUGAGGAGAAACCGAAGGCUAGUUUUCCUUGGAAGCCAGCAGCCUGUCCACCUGUUCCACUUCCCUGCCUCUUGCAGCCUCCGCUCAAACACUACCAUGGUUUGGGAGCACGGAAAAACUAGAAAAUACAGAAAUAUAUCAAGAAGAAAGAAAUUUAAAAAUCAACCUGAAUCCCACCAACCAGAGACAGCUAUUAAUGAUUGUGGUAUAUUUAUUCAGGUUGGACUUUAUAUCAAAGCUAUUCUGAUGUCACCUUUCCCAAUGUUAAGGAUGUUAAUGAGAAUUGCUAAUCCAAGAGAAGCAAAUAAUCGCAUCUGAUUUGGGCCCAUGGCAUGGAUGGCACCGACAAUCGAGGCAGGCAGUGCUGGUGGAUACACCUAGGAGGUCCUGUUGGAAGAGGACCAUUCGUGUGCAGAAACGAGGAAAUAGACAUGUAUGAGCUGGAAGAAAAUCUUAUCCGUCUGAUUCAAUUCCCUCAUUUCACAGGUAAGGAAAAUUGGCCCCAAAGAAUGAAGUGGGGAUGUCCUGAGGUCAUGAGGCUGGUUUAUAGCAAGGAUCUGGAUCAGACAGCAGGGUGUGACCCUCAGCUCUCCCUGUACUUGCUGCUUGACAUUGGAUAGGUUAUUCAGCCCUAUAUGUUUUCUCAUAAAUACAUAGAGCUUACAUACAAAUGGUGGGAGAACUUGCAUAUAGUAAGCUCUCAAUAGAUAUUAAUAAUACUGGCCACGAGCAGUGGCUCACACCUGUAAUACCAGCACUUUGGGAGGCUGAGGUGGGUGGAUCCCUUGACGUCGGGAGUUGGUGAAACCUGGUCUCUACUAAAAAUACAAAAAAUUAGCCGGGCAUGGUGGUGGGCACCUAUAAUCCCAGCUACUCAGGAGGCUGAGACGAGAAUCACUUGAACCUAGAAGGCGGAGUUUGCAGUGAGCCUAGAUUGUGCCACUGCACUCCAGCUCAGGUGACAGUACCAGACUCCAUCUCAAAAAAAAAAAAAAAGAAUAAUACAGAGUGUUUGUGUUGGCACUGUUCUCUUUUAUAGCCAGAAAGAGAGAGAGAAAGGAAGAUUACAGAAAAGAAAAAUAUUAAAAUAUUAAAAACAUAAUACUGCAAAUUAAUAAUAUAUUAAUUCAAUAUAUUAUUAUAUCAAAAACCAGGAUACUAUUAAUUAAUAUUAUAUGAAAAACCACCAUACACAUUGGUAAAACAUUAACAUUUUCAAAUCUCCAAUCCAAGAAUUUCUCCCAAAUCCAGAUUGUGCAGGUAUUUUAGUGAAUGAUUCACCUCACAGCAUUAUUUAUUACAUUUUUGUUUAAACUUCGCUGGAUUUGUAGUUGAAUGAGGGGUCAGGUAAUCACCAGACAUCUUGAAAAGGCCACAGCUAAGAUUUUAAUAAAGGCUCCCUCAGGCCUUUUCUUGGAGAAAGUUUAAAGAAACCUCUUCCCUCCCAUCAGAGAGGCCAACCAGGAGUUCCUUUAUGUUGACAGUGAAGGUAUUUGGGGCUACACCUCUUUGAAGUGCUCUGCUACCAGCAGUAAAAGUCAGGCCCUGGCACAGGACACACCUGAUCUGUUUGGUGUGAGUGAGUGCUGAGUCAAUAGCCUGCAGUUAAGGCCAGUGGGUGGGAGGAGGCCUGGUCCCUGCCUCUCCUUGCUUUGCCUCACCCCACCCAAACGCAGGUCAUGUUCAUCAUCUGCUAGCCAGCAAGGAAGAUGUGUGGGGUACAGGUUACAGGGACUGAGCCUGGAGCCUGACUCUCUGGGCUCUACCACUUGCUUUCUUCAUUUCUGAAGGCAAAGAACUCGACCUCUCUGAGCCUCCAUUUCUUCAUCCAUAAAAUGGGGAUAAUGAUAAAAGUGACUGCUUCAUAGGAAUGUUGAGAGGAUCAACUCAAGUAACAG
Molecule: long non-coding RNA, 2359 nt
Organism: Callithrix jacchus (white-tufted-ear marmoset)
Lineage: Eukaryota; Metazoa; Chordata; Mammalia; Primates; Cebidae
Source: Ensembl